This 128-nucleotide ribosomal RNA is filed under the name uncultured eukaryote. Its description in RNAcentral is "partial small subunit ribosomal RNA". It matches the Rfam family "Eukaryotic small subunit ribosomal RNA", at positions 1651 to 1774 of the family's 1831-position model. The record is from RNAcentral.
CCCUGCCAUUUGUACACACCGCCCGUCGCUCCUACCGAUUGAAUGGUCCGGUGAAGUGUUAGGAUCGAGGCGACGUGGGCGGUUCGCCGCCUGCGACUUCGCGAGAAUUCCACUGAACCUUAUCAUUU